This 1321-nucleotide ribosomal RNA is filed under the name uncultured marine eukaryote. Its description in RNAcentral is "SSU rRNA". It matches the Rfam family "Eukaryotic small subunit ribosomal RNA", at positions 424 to 1776 of the family's 1831-position model. The record is from RNAcentral.
AGGAGCAGGCGCGCAAUUUCCCAUUGCUGAUAUAGCGAGGUAGUAACAAGAAAUGACUGUGCAGGGCACUUAUGUCCUGCAAUUGGAAUGGAUAGAUUGUAAAUACCUUUGUGAGUAGCCAUUGGAGGGCAAGUCUGGUGCCAGCAGCCGCGGUAAUUCCAGCUCCAAUAGCGUAUAUUAAAGCUGCUGCGGUUAAAAAGUUCGUAGUCGAAAGCCUGUCGCGGACAGGGGGUCCGUCCUUUGGACGUGAAUUCAGCUUGUCUGGGGCAUCACGGUAUUCUCCGCGCUGCAGUUGACUCUGCGGCACGGGGUCUGCCGCAUUUACUUUGAGGAAAUCAGUGUGCUUCGAGCGAGCAGGGGCUCAUAUAUAUUAGCAUGGAAUAACACUAAAGAGUCGCACUCCAAAUUUGUUGGUUUCGAUUGUGAGACUGAUGCGCAAAGGGAUAGUUGGGGGCAUUCGUAUUUAACUGUUAGAGGUGAAAUUCUUGGAUUAGUCAAAGACGCUCUACUGCGAAAGCAUUUGCCGAAGAUGUUUUCAUUGAUCAAGAACGAAAGUUAGGGGAUCGAAGACGAUCAGAUACCGUCCUAGUCUUAACCAUAAACAAUGCCAGCUAGAUAUUGGGAGGCGUAGCAAGCCCGACACUCUCAGCAUCUUAUGAGAAAUCAAAGUUUUUGGGUUCCGGGGGGAGUAUGGUCGCAAGGCAGAAACUUAAAGGAAUUGACGGAAGGGCACCACCAGGAGUGGAGCCUGCGGCUUAAUUUGACUCAACACGGGGAAACUUACCAGGUCCAGACAGAGGCAGGAUUGACAAACUAAUAGCUCUUUCUUGAUUCUAUGGGUGGUGGUGCAUGGCCGUUCUUAGUUGGUGGAGUGAUUUGUCUGGUUUAUUCCGUUAACGAACGAGAUCCCAACCUGCUAAAUACAGACGCCUACGUAUUCCUACGCGGUGCGCUUCUUAGAGGGACACUACGUGUCUAACGUAAGGAAGCCUGGGGCAAUAACAGGUCUGUGAUGCCCUUAGAUGUCCUGGGCUGCACGCGCGCUACUCUGAUGCAGCCAUCUAGUUGUCUGACCUCUCCUGAGAAGGAUGGGUAAGCUCUCAAACUUGCAGCGUGAUGGGGAUAGAUUAUUGAAAGUUUCAAUCUUGAACGAGGAAUUCCUAGUAAGCGCGUUUCAUCAGCUCGCGCUGAUUGCGUCCCUGCCCUUUGUACACACCGCCCGUCGCUCCUACCGAUUGAGUGGUCCGGUAAACAAUUGAAGAGCAGCGUGGGUCAGCUCCUGAGGCACUCGGCUUGAAAUCUCGUGAACCUAUCAAAUGAA